Long non-coding RNA from Chinchilla lanigera (long-tailed chinchilla), 2543 nucleotides. RefSeq lists it as uncharacterized. Lineage: Eukaryota; Metazoa; Chordata; Mammalia; Rodentia; Chinchillidae. The record is from RefSeq and is a predicted model, not a curated record. The transcript has 2 exons.
UGUUGAGGUAUAAUUAGUUUCCCAAUGGAGUUAGUAUUUGUUUAUUGUUAGGGCCAAGGUUACUGUUAAAGUCAUGAUUCCAUUAAAGUACUGUUUAGGGUUAGUGUUAUGGUUGAGGCUGGUAAUAAAAAUAGCAAAAAAUCUGGGUUUCCAUCAUGGUUAGGCUAGGAUGAGGUUUAGGGUAGGUGUUGGUGCUAUGAUUCAGUUGAGAAAAGGACUAGGGCUAGUGCUAGGAUUAGUGUUAAAGUUAAGGCUUGGUUUAGGCUUAGCAUUCAGUUUUAGGUUAGAGUUAGUGUUACAGUUAGGGUUAGGAGAGGACAGAUAUCCUUGGUAGGAUAGAUAGGGUUAGGACAGUAUGGGUAGGAUAGGGAUAUAGUUAGUGACAGGGUUAGUGUUAAGGUCAGGGUUGGGUUUAGGAGUCCACUAGGGUUGGUAUUAUUUUUAGGUUUAAGUUUAGAGUUAGGGUUAAGGUAUAUUUUUUGUUUAGGGUCAGGUUUUUCGUUCACCAGGGUUAAAACUAGUGUCAAUUUAGUGAUAGCCUUAGGUCCAGAACUAUGGCUAGGUUCAGAGUCACAGUUAGCUCUUGGGCUAUGGUUUCAUUAGGUUUAGCUUUAGGAAUAGUGUUAGAGUUACUGCUAAAGGCAGGGCUAGGCUUCCACUGACAUUAGAUUUAGGGUUAGGAUUAAGGCUAGCUUGUGUUUUCCACCAUGAUUAGAAUAGGAUUUGGCUUGGUGAUCGGGCUAGGAUUAGUUUACUUCUAGGAUUAGGUUUAGGUUUUGGAUUAGGUUUAUAGAAUUUCUUGAGGGAUAUUGUUAGAUUUAGACCUAGGGUUCAGCAGAAGCACAGGGUUAGUGUUCCAGCAUGGUUAGAGUUAAGUUUAAAGUUUAAGGCUAAGGUUAGGGUUAAAUUUUGGGCUCGGGCUAUGCAAGGGCUAGGGCUAGGGUUCCAUCUGGGUUUGUAUAAGGGCUAGGGUUAGGUUAUGUUUAGAAUUAGUGUUAAUGUUCCUCCAGGUUUUGGUUAGGAUCAGGGUGAAUGUGAGUGUUAUGGCUAGGUCUAUGCCUAGGCCAAUGUCUAGUGAUAAGGCUCCUGUUAGGGGUAGAACCAGCUUUAGUGUUUCAUUUUAGGUUAUGUUUCUGCCAGGGGUAGGCUUAGAUUUAGGCUUAAGCUUAGAUUUAUGUUGAAGGUUAUGGUUAGGGCUUGGGUAGGGCCUUUCUUCAAAUAGGGUUAGCUGAAGUCUAUGGUUAGGGUUAGAGUUACCAUUAGAUCUUCAGUAAGGUUAGAGUUGUUAAAGUAAGUUUGGGGUGAGAUUUAGGGAUAGUGCUAGUGCUAGGGCUAGCGCCAGUGUUACAAGGUUAGUGUUUUUGGUUAUGGUAGGUUUAAGAUUAGAGCUAGGUCCAGGUCUGGGGCUGGGGUUCAGGGUUACGAUGGGGAUUUGGAUAUGGUAGGGCUAGGUUUACACUAUGGUUAGGGUUAGAUUUAUGUUUAGAGUUAGGGAUCCACCAUAGGUAAGUCAGAUUUAUUUAUGUUAGGGUUAGGGGUAGUGAUAUGGCUACACUUAGAAUUAAUGCUAGGGCUCGGGCUAUGGUUAGAGUCCCACUAGUUUUAGGGGUAUAUUUAGGGUUAGGCUUUGGGCUAAGGUUAGGAAUAGGGCAAAGGGCAUGACUAGGGUGAAAUUUAGAACUAGGUCUAGGUUCCAUGAUUAGGGUUAAGUUUACAUUUAGGGUUAUUUGUAGGUUUGGGGUAGGGUUAGGCUUCGGUUCCCACAACAGGUUCAAGUUAGGGUUAGGGUUAAUGUUGAGGUGAGGUCCCAGCCCAAGACUGACCUUACCGACCUGCUGCCACUGCUACUGCCAGUGUCCUGUGCACAUUAGGCCAGGGAAGACCCAGUGUGGGAUGACAAGCCUGAUUAUCUUGUCCCAGCCACUACCACCACCAGCACCAGAGGCCUGCAUGUGCCCUGCCAGGGAGGACCAGCUCAGAGCAACUGACCUGAUCACCCCACCCUCAGCCAAUGUUGCCGGGGCCUGCUCCUGGAGUCUCCUCAGCACAGGGCAGCAUAAAUGACAGUCAGCAGACUCACCUGACUGAAGAAGAGACCAAGACCCAGAGGGAGAAUUUUGCUUCAGUACUGAAUGGUUACUGUGCCACAGACACAGAUUUCCUGGGGACCAGAAAAAGUUAAAAAAAAACUGGAUAUACCCUCACAGGAACAUACGAAGACAAGACAACAGAAGAUCCUGAAAGUGUUCUAAGUCUCCUAAGGCAAAUGAAAGGGACACAAUUGGAGAGGAAGCAAGUGCCAGGUAGCAGAACCCUACGCAAUGUUUGUAGAAAAGAUGAAGAGAAUAGAUGAACUCCAAGAGGAAAUGAACCAAAAGUUCACUGACUAUCACUCAAACUGUUCAAAGUGGAUAAGCGAGACAUAGGUAAAAAAUUGGAAGAGUUGACCAAAUUAGUUCAAAUCAUGAAUGACAAAUUCACCAAAGAUUUAGCAUCCUCAAAUGAUGUCAGACAGAUAAAUCUGAAAUAAAACCUGUAUAGAA